This 51-nucleotide transfer RNA is filed under the name Runcina aurata. RNAcentral describes it as "tRNA-Leu". Lineage: Eukaryota; Metazoa; Mollusca; Gastropoda; Runcinacea; Runcinidae. The record is from RNAcentral.
UUAAGAACCUAAAAUGAUUUUUAAAUCUCUGCUCUUUUUCAGUGUUAGGCA